AGAGUUUGAUCAUGGCUCAGAUUGAACGCUGGCGGCAGGCCUAACACAUGCAAGUCGAGCGGUAACACAGGGAGCUUGCUCCUGGGUGACGAGCGGCGGACGGGUGAGUAAUGUAUGGGGAUCUGCCCGAUAGAGGGGGAUAACUACUGGAAACGGUAGCUAAUACCGCAUAAUCUCUCAGGAGCAAAGCAGGGGAACUUCGGUCCUUGCGCUAUCGGAUGUGCCCAGAUGGGAUUAGCUAGUAGGUGGGGUAACGGCUCACCUAGGCGACGAUCCCUAGCUGGUCUGAGAGGAUGACCAGCCACACUGGAACUGAGACACGGUCCAGACUCCUACGGGAGGCAGCAGUGGGGAAUAUUGCACAAUGGGCGCAAGCCUGAUGCAGCCAUGCCGCGUGUAUGAAGAAGGCCUUCGGGUUGUAAAGUACUUUCAGCGAGGAGGAGGGCAUUAAGGUUAAUAACCUUGGUGAUUGACGUUACUCGCAGAAGAAGCACCGGCUAACUCCGUGCCAGCCGCCGCGGUAAUAC
Molecule: ribosomal RNA, 527 nt
Filed under: uncultured bacterium
Lineage: Bacteria
Description: bacterial SSU rRNA
Rfam family: Bacterial small subunit ribosomal RNA
Source: RNAcentral